Molecule: ribosomal RNA, 300 nt
Filed under: Triticum aestivum (bread wheat)
Lineage: Eukaryota; Viridiplantae; Streptophyta; Magnoliopsida; Poales; Poaceae
Description: partial small subunit ribosomal RNA
Source: RNAcentral
AAGAAACAAGCUGCCUUGCGGGAAAUAUAUAAUUUUGUGCAAAUCAAAGAAGAGAGUCUCCCACAAGCUUGGGGGAGGCUUCUCCGAUUACUUAAUGCUUUGCCUGAUCAUCCUCUUAAGAAAAAUGAAAUACUUGAUAUCUUUUAUAAUGGACUAACCGAUGCUUCCAAGGACUACUUGGAUAGUUGUGCUGGUUGUGUUUUCAGGGAAAGAAUAGUCGACGAAGCUGAAUUACUAUUGAAUAAUAUGUUGACUAAUGAAAAUAAUUGGACUCUCCCUGAGCCAAUUCCUGAGGCAAUU